CUAGAAUUAAAUGCACUACUCUAUUUUCAAAUAUUUGAUGAAAUAUAUUAGUGUAUCUUUAACCGCGUAUUAAGCGGUAACCACCUAAGUAGUGGAAAGAAACUGGAAUACUGGACGAGUACUAUGAGCGAGAGAUAUUGCGGGAUACAUUGUUUUUUUUUUUUGUUAGCAAACUGCUCAAUAACGAACCAUAAUCUAUCGUGGUUCAAUCUGCUAAUUCAUACUCGAUUGAUUUUCUCUGCCAAUUACUCAAGGUUGAAUUUAUAAGUUCUUUGUUCGUUGAAGGAGAGUUUCUGAAAAAGAAAAUUAUCUGCGCUACAUACUCCAUUGAUUCAACUGCAAUUACACAAGGGUCGGUGGCUCGGUACAACGGGGAUUCAAACUGAAUUGCGCUGCACUACGUACUCCAUUGAUUCAACUGCAAUUACACAAAGGUCGGUGCAAUCCCGGGAAUUCAAACUAAACUGAAUACUCGAUUGAUUAAAUCUGCAAUUACUCAAAGGUCGGUGCUUUAUUUUGAGCAAAUUAUUUAUAUUUUUGUUGUUUAUGAAACCAAAAAAAUCUAGAUUUAUCCAAAUUAUCAUUGAAUUAGAUUAUUUAUAUUUUUGUUGUACUGAAAUUUUGGGGCUAGCUGAUGCUGCAAGUGUAAUCCAGCAAGAACGAUUUCAAACCCCAGCAGAUGCUACUGGAAUUAACAACCACAGGUUGCUGCAUCUGAACCUGCUUUGGGUUCAAGAUGAUGGUGAAGGAAAAGAAGGCAAGGAUCCAUGAAAUGAAUUAGUUCAACUCAUAAAGCUAUUAAUGAUUUGAAACGGCCUUGUAAAAUAUAUAUUUCUUUUGUUAUGUUUUUUUUUUUUUUUUUUUUUGUAAGGUUUGAAUAAGUUGAUAGUAGAUAUUAUCUAAUUGACUUAUUUUAUUUGUGAUCGAACAGAAUAUUUUAGUGUGUAUUUAAUCAUUAACAUUAUUAUAUAUUAGUCAUUUCUACCUAAUUACUUUUUUA
This is a long non-coding RNA of Beta vulgaris subsp. vulgaris (sugar beet), 1000 nucleotides long. RefSeq lists it as uncharacterized. Lineage: Eukaryota; Viridiplantae; Streptophyta; Magnoliopsida; Caryophyllales; Amaranthaceae. The transcript is spliced from 3 exons. The record is from RefSeq and is a predicted model, not a curated record.